This 369-nucleotide ribosomal RNA is filed under the name Trichomonas vaginalis G3. RNAcentral's name for it is "5.8S ribosomal RNA". The stretch from base 1 to 137 matches the Rfam family "Eukaryotic small subunit ribosomal RNA", at positions 1671 to 1831 of the family's 1831-position model. The record is from RNAcentral. Lineage: Eukaryota; Parabasalia; Trichomonadida; Trichomonadidae.
GCCCGUCGCUCCUACCGAUUGGAUGACUCGGUGAAAUCACCGGAUGCUUACGAGCAGAAAGUGAUUAAAUCACGUUAUCUAGAGGAAGGAGAAGUCGUAACAAGGUAACGGUAGGUGAACCUGCCGUUGGAUCAGUUCUAGUUUUAAUAACUAACACCAACUUCUUUUUAUUAAACAAAAACCAAUACAAAAUUAAAAACUAACUUCAUCAAAAACCAAGUCUCUAAGCAAUGGAUGUCUUGGCUCCUCACACGAUGAAGAACGUGGCAUAAUGUGUUAAGUAACCGGAGUUGCAAACAUCAUGACAGGUUAAUCUUUGAAUGCAAAUUGCGCUAAACUCGAUCUCGGUCGAGAAGCAUGGGUGUGACA